Molecule: small RNA, 809 nt
Filed under: Pan troglodytes (chimpanzee)
Lineage: Eukaryota; Metazoa; Chordata; Mammalia; Primates; Hominidae
Description: processed transcript
Source: RNAcentral
GCUGGAGCUGCGGGGUUACCAUGGGAACCGAACCGCCGCGCCUCGCCCAGGACAGUUACACUUAGAGGCCUUCAAAAGAGGGAGAAUGCCCUCCCGAUAAGAACCCAUGCAAAGAGCUGUGCCAGGGCGACGAAUUGUGUCCGGCUGAACAGAAGUGCUGCACCACAGGCUGUGGUCGGAUCUGCCGAGACAUUCCUAAGGGGAGGAAAAGAGAUUGCCCUAGGGUUAUUCGGAAACAAUCCUGUUUGAAAAGGUGCAUCACUGAUGAGACAUGUCCAGGUGUAAAGAAAUGCUGCACGCUUGGCUGCAACAAGAGCUGUGUAGUCCCAAUCUCUAAACAGAAGCUGGCAGAGUUUGGUGGUGAAUGUCCCGCUGACCCCCUUCCAUGUGAGGAGCUGUGUGAUGGGGAUGCAUCCUGUCCCCAGGGGCAUAAAUGCUGCAGCACCGGCUGUGGCCGCACCUGCCUCGGAGACAUUGAGGGAGGGCGGGGCGGUGAUUGUCCAAAAGUUCUGGUGGGCCUGUGCAUUGUUGGCUGUGUGAUGGAUGAGAAUUGUCAAGCUGGAGAAAAAUGUUGCAAGUCAGGCUGUGGCCGCUUCUGUGUCCCACCAGUACUGCCCCCAAAACUGACCAUGAACCCCAACUGGACUGUGAGGUCUGAUUCCGAAUUAGAGAUCCCGGUGCCCUAGCUGUGCUGAUUUGUCUGGAGCUUCUUUGGUAAUUCUGGAAGCUUUUCCUGGCAGUCAAGAGAGGGUGACAUCCUGGGGCUUGUGACAUUUCCAGGGGCACUCAUGGCCCUCUCUGCGCUGCUU